GAGUUUGAUCCUGGCUCAGGAUGAACGCUGGCGGCGUGCUUAACACAUGCAAGUCGAACGGGGAUGGCCCGCCGAGGAAGCUUCGGCCGAAUCAUGGGACAUCUUAGUGGCGGACGGGUGAGUAACGCGUGGGCAACCUGCCCUGUACAGGGGGAUAACACUUAGAAAUAGGUGCUAAAACCGCAUAAGCGCACAGCUUCGCAUGAAGAAGUGUGAAAAACUCCGGUGGUACAGGAUGGACCCGCGUCUGAUUAGCUGGUUGGAGGGGUAACGGCCCACCAAGGCGACGAUCAGUAGCCGGCCUGAGAGGGUGAACGGCCGCAUUGGGACUGAGACACGGCCCAAACUCCUACGGGAGGCAGCAGUGGGGAAUAUUGCACAAUGGGGGAAACCCUGAUGCAGCGACGCCGCGUGAGUGAAGAAGUAUUUCGGUAUGUAAAGCUCUAUCAGCAGGGAAGAAAAUGACGGUACCUGACUAAGAAGCCCCGGCUAACUACGUGCCAGCAGCCGCGGUAAUACGUAGGGGGCAAGCGUUAUCCGGAUUUACUGGGUGUAAAGGGAGCGUAGACGGUGAUGCAAGUCUGAUGUGAAAGCCC
Molecule: ribosomal RNA, 596 nt
Filed under: uncultured bacterium
Lineage: Bacteria
Description: bacterial SSU rRNA
Rfam family: Bacterial small subunit ribosomal RNA
Source: RNAcentral